AGUGAACGCUGGCGGUAGGCCUAACACAUGCAAGUCGAACGGCAGCACAGUAAGAGCUUGCUCUUACGGGUGGCGAGUGGCGGACGGGUGAGGAAUACAUCGGAAUCUACUUUUUCGUGGGGGAUAACGUAGGGAUACUUACGCUAAUACCGCAUACGACCUACGGGUGAAAGCAGGGGAUCUUCGGACCUUGCGCGAUUGAAUGAGCCGAUGUCGGAUUAGCUAGUUGGCGGGGUAAAGGCCCACCAAGGCGACGAUCCGUAGCUGGUCUGAGAGGAUGAUCAGCCACACUGGAACUGAGACACGGUCCAGACUCCUACGGGAGGCAGCAGUGGGGAAUAUUGGACAAUGGGCGCAAGCCUGAUCCAGCCAUACCGCGUGGGUGAAGAAGGCCUUCGGGUUGUAAAGCCCUUUUGUUGGGAAAGAAAAGCAGCAGGUUAAUACCCCGCUGUUCUGACGGUACCCAAAGAAUAAGCGCCGGCUAACUUCGUG
RNAcentral lists this ribosomal RNA (492 nucleotides) under uncultured bacterium. RNAcentral's name for it is "partial 16S ribosomal RNA". It matches the Rfam family "Bacterial small subunit ribosomal RNA", at positions 29 to 507 of the family's 1533-position model. The record is from RNAcentral.